This 494-nucleotide ribosomal RNA is filed under the name uncultured bacterium. Its description in RNAcentral is "partial 16S ribosomal RNA". It matches the Rfam family "Bacterial small subunit ribosomal RNA", at positions 28 to 507 of the family's 1533-position model. The record is from RNAcentral.
GACGAACGCUGGCGGCGUGCUUAACACAUGCAAGUCGAACGGUGAAGCGCCUUCCUUUUUGGUGGGUGUGGAUGAGUGGCGAACGGGUGAGUAACACGUGAGUAACCUGCCCCCUUCUUCUGGAUAACCGCAUGAAAGUGUGGCUAAUACGGGAUAUUCUGCGUCUGUCGCAUGAUGGGUCUGGGAAAGAUAUUGUUUCGGUGGGGGAUGGGCUCGCGGCCUAUCAGGUUGUUGGUGGGGUGAUGGCCUACCAAGGCGGUGACGGGUAGCCGGCCUGGGAGGGUGGCCGGUCACACUGGGGAGGAGACACGGCCAAGACUCCUACGGGAGGCAGCAGUGGGGAAUAUUGCACAAUGGGCGCAAGCAUGAUGCAGCGACGCCGCGUGAGGGAUGGAGGCCUGCGGGUUGUGAACCUCUUUCGCCAGUGAAGCAGGCCUGCCUUGUUUGUGGGUGGGUUGACGGUAGCUGGAUAAGAAGCGCCGGCUAACUACGUG